AUUUAUAUAAUAUAUUUAGUAUAUUUGACUUCCAAUCAUAAGGUUUAACCAUUAGUUAAUAUAAAUA
RNAcentral lists this transfer RNA (67 nucleotides) under Actias selene (Indian moon moth). RNAcentral's name for it is "tRNA-Gly". The record is from RNAcentral. Lineage: Eukaryota; Metazoa; Arthropoda; Insecta; Lepidoptera; Saturniidae.